Long non-coding RNA from Pseudopipra pipra, 4421 nucleotides. RefSeq lists it as uncharacterized. The record is from RefSeq and is a predicted model, not a curated record. The transcript is spliced from 3 exons. NCBI's taxonomy places the organism in Eukaryota, Metazoa, Chordata, Aves, Passeriformes, Pipridae.
AAUUAAGAGAUAAUCAAAGAAUCAUCUCAUUAGCAUAGCUGCUACUCGUUGUCCAAACAAAAUGAGUUGCACAAUCAAACUACUUUUUUGGCUAACAUAACCUCAAAAAUUGCAAAGUUCCCCAGCCUUACUAUAUUAAUUGGAUAUGUUAUUUGUACAUAUCCCUAGAAGUACCAUAACAGUGAUAAACAUGCCAGUGCAGACCCAGACUUCAGGCAAGUCUUGCUGCAUUUAGCAGAAUGCCUGCAAAUUGUCUGCAAACUCUUCCCAUUCAUUAUGGCAGAUAUUGUGUUGAAGGGAAUAAGCACAAACUAGGCAAGUACAUUAAGAUUCAUCUCUUUGUGCUUAACCUGGUACCGUAAAGCAUCAGGGGGUUUUUUAAGGGUUUUGGGGUUUUUUUCUUAACAUGCUAGCUAAUACUCUCACGCAAGAAGGUAACAUGGUAAAUUUUUCAUGGGUGAUAGUAAAUCAUGCUUUGCAUUUAUUGAUUUUUUUUUUCUUUUGGCAAAUAGUUGGUUUAAAGCAACUCAUCUUUUUAGCAUGGGUUAACAUUUCACAAAUAUAGAAGUACGGAGAUUCCCCUCUAACGGUCUACCUAAAAGAGAGCAAUUUAAAAUCAUUCAACUGAAGACAAUAGCAAGUCUAAGAUUAAAGCUGAGGUAACAACUGGAAAUAAAUUAAUCAGCAUGGUCAGCAUAUUCUUCAGCAUUGCUGUGUAAGUAACACAGUUGUAGUAAACCUGGCCCUGGCGUUUCCCAGUGUUCCUGUUGCUUUGUCCCAUAUUCUGUGGCAGUAUUUGCUAGUAAUGUAUUAACAGAAUUCACCUUCCCAAGGCAUGGAAACGCUUUUUUUAGGUCCUGACAUUAUAGACGUAUCUUGAAUCAAUAGAGCUGGCCACUUACUGCGAGAAUCGGAAAUACCAUGGAAGGUAAUUGCUUCACAGCAAAUGACUUCACAUAAUUUGAUAAUCGCUAGGUCUCAGGCAUUAUUCCUGCUGUUAAUCCAUUGUGAUUUAUUGUCCAUUUCUACUUCAUUUAUCAUCACAUUAUUGUUCCAAGGUUUUUUGUGAUCUUUGGUUCUCAGAACCCAGCUGCACUUUUCAUUGCUGGCAGUUCAAAAAAAAAAAAAUUUAAACAGUUGAAAUGCUGUGCCCAAUGAAUAUGUUUCAUUUGUACUGUGCCUGGAGGCUGUCCUGGGCAGGCUGCAGUUCUCUUUCCACUUUUCAGUCCUUGUGGUAAGUCAAAAGGAGUAUGUCGAUAAAACUCCCUUUUCUGGACAAAUAACGAUUAGAUUUUUCUUCACUUCCAAGUCUGGCUACAAAUACACAGCACUGUGCAUCUUCCUUGUGUAGCUGACAUUUGUUGAGCAUGUAGUGGAAUGUUUUGAAAAUAUACUAUUAUUCAGUACUUGUGUUUUCCAUGCUUCUUGGUGUUUAAGGGUUGUCAGCUUCAACCACUUUUGGCAGUAGAUAAAGACAGUACUGUCUGACCUGCAUUUCCUUCUACUCUGUUUUAACAUUUUAAUUCUGUUAAUAUUUUUCUAGGAUAACCCCGCUUGAGGGCGGUUGGACCAGAUGACCCACUGUGGUCCCUUACAGCCUUACCCAUUGUGUGAUUCUGUGAUUCCCAAGUGAGAAUUACCCUUUGGAGAUGCAGGUCAGAGCCCCCAGAUCCUGCUGCAGGUGAGGAGAGGGAAGAGUGGCUACAAAGCAGGCUCCUACACAGUUUGCCCAGAGCUACAGAGCUGUAAGUGGGCUCUAUGCACACCCCAGGGAGCAAGCAGAACAACCCCAAAAUGACUCUUUGCCUGGAGCUUUCUCUCCAGAGUUCCUGUACAAUACUUUCACAGUUGUCACCCCUUCAUGUGAAAUAAGAUUUUGUGUAAACAAGGGGGAGAGAGGGCUUCCCUGUGCCAAGGUGGCAAGGAUCAGCACUGGGGCAUUGAAUAAGGCUCUUUUUUCACCCCAGAGUCUACGGUGCGUUUGCUGGAUUGUUUUAUAGGCACUAAGGCAGGAGGUGCAGGUGACAGCUCAGAGCUGAGUAACCUCUGAUGAGGCUCCUCCUGUUUGCCUCUAAGUAAAACUGAAAUAACUGGAGCUGAGCUGCAUCAAGGUUCAGAACAGAAGGAGGCAGCAUUUCCACCAGGUUGGAUUAAAUGACCGUCAAAGCUGUAGGAUGACACUCUUCAUCAUUAACAAAGCGCAAGCAGAAUUCCAGCCUGUGAGUGACUUGGGUAGUGAAGAUCAUUCACCAUGCCAGAUGGUAACAUGGUAGCUGGACUACUAGAUAGGUUACUUAGUCAAUGGAUUACCUCUAAAAUUGCAGGAGGAGAAGGCAUCUUCUCUCUUGUGCUUGCAGAAUGGCAGGAGGUUGAGGCUUCAUUUUCCUUUCUAGUGUUUUCUUUGUGCUGUACACAGGCUCCUGGCCUAUGUUUAGGAAUCCAUGGCUAUUAAAGAUGCCCAGUAAGAUAGGUAAAACUGCAGGCAUUUGUUUUGACAGAAAUUCUUUCUGCCUAAAUAAGACCUUUGUUUCAGCUGACAAUUCAUCAGGCUUGCCUGUGCUUUACACGCUUGACAUUUUUUGUGGCUAAAGCCAAUUUUACAUGGUAGUAAUACAUCAUCAGGAGAGUACUGAAUUUUUUUCCUUGACCUUCUGUAGUUCCUGUUCCCAUUUUUAGAAGUCAUUUCAAAUGUUGCUGUUGGUUAUGUUCCAUUUAUGUUCAACCUGUUCCUCAUGUCACUGCUGUCAUUCAUGCUAGCUAACUAUGGAACUGAGAAUCAAGAUUUUUGUUUUCAAUGAAAGUCCAUUUUUAGUCUCCUUAUCUGUCACUUAUUAGUUGGAAUUUCAGCAUUACCCGAAGCACAGGUAAGGUGUUUUUCUCUCUUUAUUCAUUGCUUGGUAUAUGCAAGUUGCAAUCUACUGCUCAGAAAGGGUUUUCCUACACUGCAGCCAAUGAUAAUUUGUGGAUUGUGCGUAAAGCUCAUAUUUUUUUCUAGUAAAACUGUGAUGUAACACUCACCAAUAGUGAUAGAGUUGCAUCCACAGGUUCUGAUGUCCCUAUGGCUUUUCUUUCUAUCCCUUCUUGAAGCAAACGUGUCAUAGCCAUGAUGUUGCCACUUUCUGGUAGGGUGGGCAGAAUUUCGCUUCUUCUUCUCCCCUCAUUCCUAAGCCAGAGAUGUGAAGAUGCUGGAAGAACUCUUUCUCUGGGCCUCCCUGCCAAGAGCUGCUCUUGUCACCACUUCUUGUCUGCAGGCUUCAUACAACUGCUCAUUUUUCUGAGGGAUGAGCAUCUAGAGGUGACAGUUUCAUUACUCAGAGAACUCCAACUGACAGGCAAGUCUGUCACUAAAUUUAGCAUUUUCUAUCCUCUGCUACAGUUAUUCUUCUUGCCAUAAAUGUACCAUUAAACAGGGUGUUAAAAACAGACUUCAUUUAUGUUAAAAACAGGAGAUUUAUUGUGCACAUCACUGUUCCUGUGGACACAAUCUGAAUGGUCAAUGGGUCUCCACAGAGGACCCUGUAGGAAACAGGACCUCCAUCAACUAUGGUCAAACAGAUCUGUUUCCCCAUAGCUCAUUUACAUGAAAGAGGAAGAUCCUAUUUAAAUGUGUGUCCUUCCUCCUUCUCCAACUCCAAUUUAUUUGCCCUCCUUCCAGGUGGUGAGCAGGCUUGGACUGUGUCAUGCUGCUAGUGUAAGAGCCCACCCCACUUCUGGCAGAUGGGAGUUUGUUACUAAGCACUCUUCUCUGUUGGACUUACAGAGAGAAAGAAAGGUCUGGAAAUAGCUGCCUUGGAGACAUCUAUGGGAAAAUGAGCAUCUGGUGUUGAGACGGACUAUCCCUGGCAAGACUCAGGUCAGGGCAGAUGCGAUGAGAUCACAGCCAGUAGUCAGAGCACUUGCAGUUUGUCCUGAUUUCUUGAGUGUUGGAACAACUCAUCACCAGCACAGAAGAGCAGAUAUGGGGUCCCAAUGGCAUGUCACUAACCAGGAGGUGCUGCUCAUCAGGGAGCACUGCCACAUCUCCAGCUUCCGGAGGAAAUCUUGGUGGCUGUUUCCAGUUUCAGAGUAAAUCUUGGUGGCUGUUUCCAGGUUCGGUCAGACUGAACAGCAGGUACGUACUCUGAGGUCAGCAAUUCCCUGGCUUAGCAGAGCAGUGAGCUCCUGAGCCCUCAUGUGAGUCAGAGCCACUGGCUUCUACACACUUGGACAUGCUACUGCUCCUACCUUGGAAAUCCCUAGUACUGUAAAAAUACUCAGCUCUGAUGUCUCCAGCCUAUGAUUUUACAUCACCUCCCUCUUUUUUUAACAAUUAUAAUAUGUCUCUGGCUCCUCGAAGUAACUGAUAGAUGGAAAUCUCACCUUCCUUUGAAUCACUGAAUCAUUUUGUCUUUGUCUUCACUACAGAGUGUGAAACGUGGUAU